CAGUGCGUAGCUCAGAAGGCAGAGCGCAUCUUUCGGGAAGAUGAGGCCGCGCGUUCGACCCGCGCCGCGCUGACCA
RNAcentral lists this transfer RNA (76 nucleotides) under Nevskiaceae bacterium. RNAcentral's name for it is "tRNA-Pro". Lineage: Bacteria; Pseudomonadati; Pseudomonadota; Gammaproteobacteria; Nevskiales; Nevskiaceae. The record is from RNAcentral.